ACAUAAAUAAUUUUGAGACACGGGGGAAAAAAAACUUUUUUAUAAGUUAAAUGGUUCGUCCCUUACAAACUCAAAAAGAUAAAGAAGUACACAAUCUAAAACGAAGAAAGUAUAAAAACAAACAUAUGCAUAGUUUUAGAACUGUCAUAUAUCUGUUUGCAUGUUUAAACCGUCAACAAGUGAACUCUUUCUAUCUGUCUUUUCGUCUGAAAAAUGCCCGCCACAGAACAAAUUAAUUCCAUUGACGUUUAUGACGUUGUAUAAUAAUUACGUCUAUGACGUUCUCACGAAAAAACAACUUUUGUUAGGGCCGAUUCUUGGCACUCAAAGGGAGUAAUCACAAAUAUUCCUGGC
This 354-nucleotide long non-coding RNA is filed under the name Mytilus galloprovincialis (Mediterranean mussel). Lineage: Eukaryota; Metazoa; Mollusca; Bivalvia; Mytilida; Mytilidae. The record is from RNAcentral.